This is an RNA transcript of Salvia hispanica, 4488 nucleotides long. It is a transcript of the gene named putative late blight resistance protein homolog R1A-3, with no coding region annotated. The record is from RefSeq and is a predicted model, not a curated record. Lineage: Eukaryota; Viridiplantae; Streptophyta; Magnoliopsida; Lamiales; Lamiaceae.
CGAGCACAGCCACUCUUUUGAUUGAGAUUUGGAUUUGAAUAAUGAAAGUAGGAACCAUUUUGCACUCCAAAUCAUUCAAUUUUUUUCUUGGCAAUCUAGCAAGCAUACCGCUGAGCUUUCAUCAGAAAUCAUCAAUAAUCUGUCUCUGUUUUUCUCAAUCCUUUGUUUCUCCAAGAGAUCAAAGGUUAGAGAUGCAGCAUAUGCAGCUGCGGUUUCGCUUAUGAAUACCACGAAGCAGAUCAUGGAUCAUCCUCACCUUGCGACCUCAUUCGACCCCAAACAGAUGGAAUCGCUUCGUGAUACAGUUGAUUCCCUGCUUGAUUUCAUGGAGAGUUGCACUUCUCACGGAGGUACCAACGAAGCACGAGAUUUGGAGUCCCAAAUUGCAUCCGCAGCUGAAGAUGUAAUUGAAUCUCAUGUUGUUGAUCAGAUCCACGCCGGAUUCGACCAAACUAGUUUGAAUUUGCCACUGAAUCUGCAGAAAGUGAUAGAUGAGAUGGAUUCUGUGAAGUUGAAGGCUGAAAAGGAAUGGUCGAUUUUGAGGAAUAUGCAGCCAACAUACCCUAAAUCAACUAAACCUCUUACCGCUCCAAAGAUGGAUAUGGUGGGAAAUGAUGAGGAGUUGCUUCAGCUCUUGGAUGUGCUCACCGGACAUGACUCGAGCCGCCAUAUCAUCUGCAUUGUUGGGAUGGGGGGCAUAGGUAAAACCACUCUGACUAGAAAUGCUUUUGAAAAUCGUCUUAUUAUUCAGCAUUUUGACAUUUGUGGUUGGGUUACAAUCUCUCAGAGCUUGUUAGAGAGCUUUUGUUAGAACUUAUUUCAUGCCUAGGGAACACAACAACCUUAGAUGCAUCUGAUAUUGCUAGUGAAAUUGAUCAAGAACCCGAAGAUCAAUUAGGAAUCAUAUUACACAAGUGUUUGUGUUUUGGAUGAUAUCUGGAGUGUCGAGUCUUGUGACAAGUUGAAGUUUUUCUUUCCUGAUUAUGGUAAUGGAAGUCGGAUUGUUGUGACUACUAGGUUAUCAAAUGUGGCCUCUUUCUUUAGUUCAUCGAGUCUUAGGAUGAAUUUUCUAGAUAGGGAUAAGAGUUGGGAUCUAUUGCGUAAAACUACAUUUCCUCAAGAAGAUUGCCCCCUUGAACUAGAAGAUAUCGGAAAGAAGAUUGCGGAAAAAUGCAAAGGACUUCCUUUGUCAAUCGCUGUGAUCGGGGGGUUUCUUGCAAAAUCCAGUAGGGCGAAAGAGUACUGAGAGAAUGUCGUAAGAGACAUAAACUCAAUUUUGAAGUCAGAUGACGAUGAAGAUCAUUGCUUGGAUUUACUAUCUUUGAGUUAUACUCACUUGCCGGUCCAUCUAAAACCAUGUUUUCUUUAUAUGGGAAUUUUAGAAGAAGAUGAACGGAUUGAUGUAUCUCAAAUCAUCAAACUUUUUGUAGCUGAAGGUUUUUUGAGACCAAACAAAAUCCAAAGCUUAGAAGAGACUGCACAUGAUUACAUAAAAGAUUUCAUUGACAGAAAUCUCAUCCUAGUUUCAAAAUGGGGAUGGAAUGGAACAGCUAAAGUGUGUUACAUUCAUGAUCUUUUAAGAGACAUAUGCUUAAGGGUAGCUGAGAAAGAAGAGUUCCUGCGUUUUAGGAGUUUGCAUGAUGGUCUGCGAGGUAUCGAUGUGGAAUGUGCUAGUCUCAUUGUCUUUCCAAGAGCGAUAUCAAAGUACCCUCGAGAGUUUGAUGCUUUACCAUCAUCAGCACUUGUGCGUUCAUUGAUAAACGAUGGUUACCCACUGCCUCACAAAUUUCGUUUGUUGAGGGUGUUGACUAUAGUUGAAAGGGUGGAAACUAUUUUUCAGCAAGUUAACUCGUUGAGGGUGUUGACUACAGUUGAAAGGGAUCCAGCGGAAACUGUUUUUCAGCAAGUUAACUUACGGUACCUUCUUUACGAACCUUAUGAAGACUCAGGAGCCUUGCUUCCUUCAUCAGCAUCCCGACUGUGAAUAUGCAAACAUUGAUCAUUAAAGGAGGAACUGGGCGAAUAGCAGCACCACCUGAAAUUUGGUACAUGAGACAACUCAGACAUCUUGAGUUCAACAAACUUUUUAUUCCUGAUCCUACAACAAUGAACCAGCAAGAAGACUGUAUUCUACAAAACCUACAAACGCUCGUGAAUGUUGUGAACUUUUGCUUCAGUGAGGAUGUUUGCAAAAGAAUCCCCAAUAUCAAGAAACUGCAUAUAAGCUAUGAUGAUUUCUCAGAAGAGUGUCUCAGAAUUGAUAUUGGCUCCCUAAAUAAGCUCCAAUCAUUGAAAUGCUCUUUUGACGAACAGAUGGGAGAUCUGGCCCUGGAACUUAUGUUUCCAAGUUCACUCCACAAGUUGUCUUUAAGUGGUUGUUGUCUUCAUUUCGACAAUGUGACAAAUGUUGGGUUGAUGUCGCCGCAGCUUCAAGUUCUGAAUCUACACUCAGUCACAGGACCAGAGUGGAACCUUGUGGAUGGAGCAUUUCCUCGUCUCAAUUACCUAAGCAUUUCCAAGAGUGAUUUGAUCUACUGGACUGCUGACGAAUCUCAUUUCCCAGUCUUGGAGAAGCUUUCCCUUCGCUACAUGUUUGUAUUGAAAGAGAUCCCUUUGGGUUUUGGAGAAAUCCCAACGCUUGGAUCUCUUAGUUUGUGGAGCUGUAAUGAAUCUGUUGCAAUUUCAUCUACCAAAAUUUUGGAGGAUCAGCUGAGUCUGGGAAAUGAGGAGAUUAAAAUUCAAAUAGACUUCCGGGAUAAGGUGGAAUUAAAUAGCUUCAUGGAAAAGGUGGAUACAACGCGCUUCCUAAAAUAUAAUUUUGAUUGUUCUGGUAGUCGAGUCGAAGAAAUGGAAAAAAUUCGUGAAAAGAUUCACAUUGCAGUAGUUACAAUACAUGCAAUGAGAAAAUUUUUAGUGAGGAGGUACACAAGACAAGAGAUAAAUAGAUCCAUCAUCGACUUUGGCAUGUGAUCUGAUACCAAAUUAGAAAUGAGUGACUCAUCCCUCCUUACAAGGCCUCAUUCUCAUUUCUAUAGUUGUCAAGUACAGUAUACAAAAGUAGACAUGUACAUGUAAAUUGGCGCGCUAGCCAUCAUUGUGAAUUCGUCUGCACCCCAGUUGGAUAUCCAGUUAUCCACCCAUGGCUGCUGAAGAUGAUGCUGACAUCAGAAGGUAUGCGAGAAUCUGAUACACAAAAAUUACUUUGCCUUGAGAUUUGUUCAAUAUUACACCGAGAUUAGGAAUCUAAACUACACGGAAUCAAUGUAUACAUUCUUAUUACAAUGGCAUAUCCACAUAUUUAUACAUAAUUAACUUGUUAUAGAUUUGUUGUUGCUUUCCAAAUAAAACCAAAUGCAGAGAGCCUAUAAGAACUUAAGUAAGAACCCUUAAUCUGAGUGUUAGGGAAAGUACCUUUAAACAGGGCUAAAAUACAAGUAAACUAAAGAUUGAAUUUUAUUAGACCCCCUUGUUUCUUGUAGAUAAAACAGUGCUUAUAGUAUUGAAUUUUACAACUGAGAUUAAAGCAAAAUCAGAUGAGAUACAGCAUCUCGGUGGACGCCCAAGACGCCUUGAUGGGCGAUACGGGUGGGCACCCGAACCCAGAUCGGGAGGGAGCGGCAGCUCUCCUCCUACUCCUACUCCUACUCCUCCUACUCGUGGUACUCGCACCCCGUACACUCCGGAUGAGAUGAUGCAGAUGUUCAAAGCCUACUUGGCAGUCUCCGAAGAUCCGGACGUUGGCACGAACCAAAUCGGGGAAACGUAUUGGUGGCGCAUCACUCGUCUUCACAAUGAAACCCGGCCGGGGGGAACCAUCUAUCGCAAUGAUAGUAUGGUGCACAAUUGCAUCUUCAGAGCCAACGAGGCAAUCGGUAAGUUCCAGGGGUAUUACCAACAGGAAGAGCGGGCGGCGGGGAGCGGCAAGAGCGAGCUCGACAUCAUCAGUGCCGCCUUGGCGACCUACCAAAGCUUGGAGUUGAAACCGUUCAAGUACCUAAGUUGUUGGCAGGAGGGGCGCCAACAUCCGAAGUAUAAGGGUGGCAUAGUAGUACCCUCCUCCAGCUCCUCCAGCAAACGGUCGAGGUCGGUAGCCCUAUCCGACGGCGUCUCCGAUGAUGUGGCUACCCAGCUUGCCGGAACUAACUUGGGUAGCCCUGACGCUGGCCCGAGCAUUUCCCACCGGCCGCAAGGAAGGAGGCGACGGCCAACCGCCGUCGCGGGCCGACUCCAUCCGCCCCCGCUCCCGCUCUCGCUCCCUUUGUGCCACCUCAAUCCCCGACCAACUCGUUGUGGACCCUCUUGAGUCAACUCAAUAUGGCCGAUAGGUCUAACAUGACUCCCGACCAACUUGCAACACAUGCAUGUGGCAACAAUACGGGGUCUCCGAAGAACAUUGGAGAUAGAGGACUAGUCUUCCACGGGGGUAUUUUUUAGUUUUUAAUUAUGUAAUUUUUAAUUAGUAAGAUUUUAAUUAUGUAUUUUUUUAUU